GAUGAACGCUGGCGGCGUGCCUAAUACAUGCAAGUCGAGCGAACAGACGAGGAGCUUGCUCCUCUGACGUUAGCGGCGGACGGGUGAGUAACACGUGGAUAACCUACCUAUAAGACUGGGAUAACUUCGGGAAACCGGAGCUAACACCGGAUAAUAUAUUGAACCGCAUGGUUCAAUAGUGAAAGACGGUUUUGCUGUCACUUAUAGAUGGAUCCGCGCCGCAUUAGCUAGUUGGUAAGGUAACGGCUUACCAAGGCAACGAUGCGUAGCCGACCUGAGAGGGUGAUCGGCCACACUGGAACUGGGACACGGUCCAGACUCCUACGGGAGGCAGCAGUAGGGAAUCUUCCGCAAUGGGCGAAAGCCUGACGGAGCAACGCCGCGUGAGUGAUGAAGGUCUUCGGAUCGUAAAACUCUGUUAUUAGGGAAGAACAAUUGUGUAAGUAACUAUGCACGUCUUGACGGUACCUAAUCAGAAAGCCACGGCUAACUACGUG
Molecule: ribosomal RNA, 497 nt
Filed under: uncultured bacterium
Lineage: Bacteria
Description: partial 16S ribosomal RNA
Rfam family: Bacterial small subunit ribosomal RNA
Source: RNAcentral